CGUGCCGCCGCCCUGCCUUCCGUGUCGCCGGUGACCUGCAGUCUCUCGCCGCCGAGCUCCAACACCGCCUCAUGUGCCCCGUCGCGCCGGAUAUGGAUCCCCCCCGGCCGGGAACCACCAGAUCCGGUCAGCCCUCGCCGGUCAGCCCUCAGUCGUCGCCGGAUCCGUGCUGGAGUCGUCAGCCGCCGCCGUCGGCAGUUCCGGUCGAGAGGAGGUCGACAGCGCCCCAGACCUGCGCCCCGUCGCCAGAUCGAUCGGGUUCCCCCCGUUGACCGCGCAGGCCGCUACCAACCCCCGGCUGGGCCUUGCAGGCCGGCCCAGCUCCAGUGCGCCGCCGCCAGCCCCAGGGCCCAGCUCCUCCCUCCUCGUCGGUGGCCCAGCAGCACCCAGCGCUGGUCGCGGCCCAAGCAGCGGAGCGUCAGGCCUCCUCACGCCGAGGCCUCCUCCUCGCUCCACCAGGCCGGCCCGCCAAGGUAAGCCUCCCUUGCCCCCUGUUCCCUAUUCCUCGCCCAGACAUCCGAUUGCUAUUUUGUGCCCACCUGUUCGGCCCAUAGUUGUUAGGUUAAUUUUCGGAAUUAUUAUGAAAUUCCAGAAAUUAGAUGAAUAUUAGAUCGCCCGUAGAUUAUUAACCGUGUAUCGGUUCGCGACGUGUAGCAUAUGGAUUUCAUGUAGUUUUGCGCGUAGAUUACGAAUUUACAACUUGCAUUUUUGUUUGAUGUAGUUUAGCGUGCCGAAUGCCUAGUUUAGCGUGCUGUCCUAAUGUGUUAUGCCCGUAAUUUAUUUUUCGCGCAUGUCCGGUUUGUCCGAAUGCGUUAGUUAAAAUGCCUAUGUUUUAGGGAUCAUUAUUCCAUGCAUUUUAGAGCGGUCAUUGGUAUUUUUACGUGUAGGGAUUGCGGGUAGUUUGUUUUCCCGUGUAUAGGUUAUUAUCCCGCAUAUUCAUGUGGCAUUAUUUUGUGUUGCAAACCCCACAUAUUUUAAUUCCCAUGGAUUUUUCUGUGCAAUUAGUUUCAGCUUUUGAGCAAGUAAGUUCGCGUGAUAUUUGGCCGUGAAGCCCUUUUGUUUAAUUCGUAGGAUUUAUUACGUGCCUCGUUUGAAUUAGUUGUCAACUAGGGAGUUCUUCUUAGAUGUUUUGUUUAGCCCCUGGUAUUUUUAGUUGCAAUAGAAAUGCAUGUUUAGGUGUGUUUUGCUUGCUCUCAAGUUGCUAGAAAUAGUGCUGUUUUAGAGGAGCUGAAAUAUUUCUAAGUCUGGAAUCUGUUAUAUUUUGUUGUUGUCUUGUCUUGCUUGCAUCUUGUGAUCUGUAGCUCGUUUGAGGUUGGUCCAAUGGAGUUAGUUGUACCCCUUGUGUUUCUCUAUCAUGCUGUAAAUUUUCAUGCCAUUUGGAGUCCUGUAGGUAUAGGUUAUGCUGCUGUCAAUAUAGCUUCAGAUCGAAAACUGCACUUNNNNNNNNNNNNNNNNNNNNNNNNNNNNNNNNNNNNNNNNNNNNNNNNNNNNNNNNNNNNNNNNNNNNNNNNNNNNNNNNNNNNNNNNNNNNNNNNNNNNUGAUACAGGAAUUAUAAUAAUAACUAUAUUUAUUAUUGCCUCUAGGGCAUAAUUCCAACAGUCUCCCACUUGCACUAGAGUCAAUAAUCUAGCCCUCACAUCAUCAUGCGAAUUACAUUGUAAUAAAUCUAACACCCAUACAGUUCUGGUGUUGAUCAUGCUUUGGCCGUGGAAGAGGUUUAGUCAGCGGGUCUGCUACAUUCAGAUCCGUGUGCACUUUGCAUAUAUUUACGUCCUCCUCCUCGACGUAGUCGCGGAUGAGGUUGAAGCGUCGUUUGAUGUGUCUGGUCUUCUUGUGAAACCUUGGUUCCUUUGCUAAGGCAAUGGCACCAGUGUUGUCACAGAACAAGGUUAUUGGAUCCAGUGCACUCGGCACCACUCCAAGAUCCAUCAUGAACUGCUUCAUCCAGACACCCUCCUUAGCCGCCUCCGAGGCAGCCAUGUACUCCGCUUCACAUGUAGAAUCUGCUACGACGCUUUGCUUGGAACUGCACCAGCUUACCGCACCCCCAUUAAGAAUAAAUAUGUAUCCGGUUUGCGACUUAGAGUCGUCCGGAUCUGUGUCAAAGCUUGCAUCGACGUAACCUUUUAUGGCGAGCUCUUCGUCACCUCCAUACACGGGAAACAUCUCCUUAGUCCUUUUUAGGUACUUCAGGAUAUUCUUGACCGCUGUCCAGUGAUCCACUCCUGGAUUACUCUGGAACCUACCUGCCAUACUUAUGGCCAGGCUAACAUCCGGUCUAGUGCAUAGCAUUGCAUACAUGAUAGAGCCUACAGCUGAAGCAUAGGGGACGGAGCGCAUAUGCUCUCUAUCUUCAUGAGUUGCUGGGCACUGAGUCUUACUCAAUCUCGUACCUUGUAACACUGGCAAGAACCCUUUCUUGGACUGUUCCAUUUUGAACCUCUUCAAAACUUUAUCAAGGUAUNNNNNNNNNNNNNNNNNNNNNNNNNNNNNNNNNNNNNNNNNNNNNNNNNNNNNNNNNNNNNNNNNNNNNNNNNNNNNNNNNNNNNNNNNNNNNNNNNNNNGGCACACCUUGUCAGCAUUUUUAGGAUCGACAAAACCUUCGGGUUGCAUCAUAUACAACUCUUCCUUAAGGAAACCAUUAAGGAAUGCCGUUUUGACAUCCAUCUGCCAGAUUUCAUAAUCGAAAAAUGCAGCUAUUGCUAACAUGAUUCUGACGGACUUAAGCAUCGCUACGGGUGAGAAUGUCUCAUCGUAGUCAACUCCUUGAACUUGUGAAAAACCCUUUGCCACAAGUCGAGCUUUAUAAACGGUCACAUUGCCGUCAGCGUCCGUCUUCCUCUUAAAGAUCCAUUUGUUCUGAAUAGCCUUGCGGCCCUCAGGCGGUACCUCCAAAGUCCAUACUUUGUUCUCAUACAUGGAUCCUAUCUCGGACUUCAUGGCUUCCAGCCAUUUGUUGGAAUCUGGGCCCACCAUUGCUUCUUCAUAAUUUGCAGGUUCAUUGUUGUCCAACAACAUGAUCGACAAGACGGGAUUACCGUACCACUCUGGAGCAGCACGUGGUCUCGUCGACCUGCGUGGUUCGACAGAAACUUGAACCGGAAUUUCAUGAUCAUCAUCAUUAACUUCCUCCUCAACCGGCGUCGCAACGGCAGAGGUUUCCCCUUGCCCUGCGCCACCAUCCAGAGGGAUGAGAGGUUNNNNNNNNNNNNNNNNNNNNNNNNNNNNNNNNNNNNNNNNNNNNNNNNNNNNNNNNNNNNNNNNNNNNNNNNNNNNNNNNNNNNNNNNNNNNNNNNNNNNUUCGUGCGCGUAGGAAAAUUUUUGUUUCCCAUGCGACGUUCCCCAACAGAGAGCGCCGAAGAAGAUCUGGCGACCAAUGCUCGAACCUCCUCCGGACGACAUGGCGAAAGGAAGUAGUCGCAAACUCGCCGGAAGUCGCUUAGACGCCUGCCCCAAGGUGGGCGCCAACUGUCGUGGGUAUAAGUCUCACAGUAGUUGUGUAGGGUACGAAAGGAUGGGCAGAGCCUUAGCUACGGCGAGGUUGUAUGAGUUCAGGCCCCUCUGCGGUGGAGGUAACAACCCUACGUCUCAAUGCUCUCGGAGCUUGUUGUCGAGUGUAAUAUGGAACACAAUGAUUUGCUAACCCCUUUACCAGCGAGGGAGGGUGGCUUAUAUAGAGUGCGCUGCCCUCCACAACGGUUCUGAUUCAGGGGCGGAGUAGUGGCGAUUGAAUGUGUACGUUACAGGUAACGGACGACCUAAAUGCUAAUAAAUGCACCUGAAAACGUACGAUCGUUUCCCCCCACACGGGUCACGGUGUACCGAGUGGUAUUCAGUCGGUCAGCUAGAUAUGCUCCGAAAGUUACUCUCCGACUGGACGUCAUCGAGGAUCUGCUACCGACUGGAUGAUGGGGAUUCCUUAAUUCAGUCGGAACUGACUAAGGCCCUUGUCCUUUGGGAGGGGUAGUCCUUGGGUAGGACCUAUAGGGCANNNNNNNNNNCCUAGGACUAUAACCCCAUCACUCGGUCACCCGGCGAUCCACAAUUUACUCCUGGAUGCUCUAGACCAUGACGCCUAAUCGUGUGGAGGAUGCAUAGUCCUCAAAGGUAACAAGCAUCGGUUCCACACAGGAACAAUCUCUUGAGUGAUGCUCAAUCACUUUGGAUUUUUUGGGUUUUGGUUUGGGUGUUUGGGGUAUUUCCUCACCUGAUGAUUUUCUCACAAAGUCCUCGAGGAUUGGGUUUCUCUAAAUGACUGGUGUGAUUUUCUCUCGGAGCAGCCAACCAACUAGUGGUUGUAGGGGGUGGCUAUUUAUAGCCGGGGAGCAUCCCAACAUGAUUUGACAUUAAUGCCCCCAAUGAUAUGACCGUUAUGUGGAUAAGAUUGGGGACGGGUGGCGCGCAAGGUGGCAACGGUCGGAUCUUUCAAGUGUGAAAUUCCUCAUGUCUCGCAUGUUCCUCACUGAUAGGCAAUUCGCACUGGCGAAAUCCUAACUCCCUAGUUAGUGCAAUUUGUUCAGCGACCAGAAGAACUUCGUCUCUAUCACUGAAGACUUUGACUAAGCUGUGAGAGAUUUUCAAAGGCUUCAAUCGAAGGAUUAGUAUUUUUAGGCUUUGAGUUGAGCAUCAUGAGGAAACUUUUCCUUAGUAUUACCUCGACCCCCUUUAACAGUACGGUGUACCUAUGACUCAAAAAAGAAGAAAAUGAAACCGAAAGAGUAAAUCUUCAAGCUUCAAAGUCUUCAGAGCAUUUUCUUCGGGAUACACGAAAUUCCUCAUUUUCAAAGUCUUCAUGAGGAAUAGUAAUUUCUUCGCUAUCAAAGUCUUCAAGGAAUGACCAAAGUCUUCAUCCGAUGACAUACAUUUUUAGGGGUCGAUAUUCUUCGAAUAACACAAACUCCUCAAUGACUUAUAGGGCAUGUGUACACUCACAAAAACAUUAGUCUCUCAACCUAUAAGUCUUCAAUCCACCAAAAUCACUAAGUGGCACUAGAUUCACAUACAUUGGGCAACAUGCUUGCCGUCUACCACACACAUCUUGAUCUGGGUAAUCGAUUGUGUUAUUUUAGUUCUUCGCAAACAGUUUAUCAGGCUGAGCUCUAUGCCGUCUAUUGCACACAUAAUCAUCUAGAUAACCAUUUGUGAUCUGCUGGAUCAUCAUAAAUAGUUUAUCCGGGUGAACUCUAUGCCAUACAUCACACACGCUUGUAUUUAGUUAACCGCUUGCGUUACUUUUUCCCACAACAGACAGUUUAUCUUGGCUAUAACUGUAUGCCACAGAUCGCACAUGCAACUAUUUUCUGAAUCGUAUUUGAUGGAUCCGCCAUCGCACAUAGUUUUUGCUAUUAGCGAUGGACCUCCAACUAUAUCUUUUAUGAUUCAUGCGUCGCACACAGUUUGGUCGAAGGGUCUCUAAUUGAUGUGUUGUCUUUGCACCAUCCUACAGUAUUGUAGUGCAAAGUUAAAAAUGUGUGACGGUCCACACUUCGUAGAUCGGUUCUGCCAGAGUAUAUCCCGUGGUAAUCCUUUCUACCAGAAUGACAGACCACUCGAGAACAUUUGUGCAAGGGUGGAUUUGAUAUUUCUUGUUAUGUUUUUUUGUCCUUCUUCUGAGAUUCAAAGUAUCGAAACCACACGUGUGGACUAGAGUGGAUGAAAAGUUGGUGUUCUUCCGGGAUAAUGAUUGACAUCUCUCUGAGAGAAUCAAGCCAAAUAUCUCGUUCUUCAUUCAUAUUUUAUGAUACAUCCCGGUCGGGUCGCUAGUUAGCCUGUUCCGAGAGAUGAUUGAGUAUAAUCAAACUUUUCCUAAAAAACUUAGUUAUUUCUAGUUCAGACCAUGAAAAGUUUAAUCUUUGGAAUCCAUCAUGAUUUUUCUUUGAGCAAAUCCACAGUUCAUCGAGGUUCAACAAAACACUCAGGAUUCAAUCUCCUAUGAACAUCUAGUCGGAUCCAACAGAGUGAGAUGACAGGUUCUCAAAAUCAUGACUCAUUCAGGGGCUAAUGAUGAGGUUAUGUCCUCUAUGGUUGGCUCAUGGUGAUCUUAAACCUAAUAAAGCCCAUGAAGGUAUGUGCCCACAUUAUCCAAAUAUUGGUAGAGCGCCCUGCUUCAGCUUGAUGGAGGGUUUUUUCACUCGGGACAUGCUACCCAAGUCGAGAAAGGAGUAUUCUCACUCGAAUAGCAGGAGUUCAAUGGCCAACAACAUUAACUAGAGAGUUACCACAACCAUUGAGCUGACAUUUCAUCUAGUGAUUAAGACAUAUGUUACUUCUAGGCAUUUGGGUAAGGAGGCAUAGGCUUCUUUCUUGUGUAGUAUAGAGAAGUAGUGAUAGAGAAUAGCCGGUAUGAUGAAAACAAUAUGGGGAAAGAAUAUAAAACCACGUGGGGUAGAAAAUUGGUGGACAAUUGAGAGGCAGCGUACGUGAAAGGGAGGGGCUUGGGGUGUCGGAGGAAGCAAAUGAUGUAUGAUAGGACCUUAGGUUCUUUUUCAAUAUAGAGACACAUACUUGAAGUACACAUAAGUACAAAAGAUUUAGCGAUAGAUAAGUAGAUAUAGAUAUUAGCCGGUCCAUUGAAAGUUGUGUGUGGAAAGAAUAGAAACCCAAUGGGGUCAAAAAUCGGUGGAGGGCGGGUAGAGAGCGUACGUGGGGCUGACUGGGGAAACAUACGACCUAUGACGAAACCUUAGGUUCUUUCUGAACGUGGAUAUAUAUAUUAGAGAAGUAUAGAAAAGUAUAGAAGUAGAUAAGAGAUUGAGAUAGACAAGAUAGAGAUAGAGAAAUAGAUAUAGAGAUUAGCGAGUCUAGUGGAACUAUCUAGGGGAAGAAUAGAAAAAUAAGUGGUGGAGGAUGUGAGGGAAAACAUACAAUAUAUGAAAAAACCUCAGUUUCUUUUCAAAUAUAAUGAAAAUAAGAGAUAUAAAGUAGAGAAUUAGAGAAGAUAUGUAGAUAAAGAAGAUAGAUAUAGAGAAACAUAAGUCGAGACACAGAUUAGUCGGCCAGAACAAAAUCGUGUGGGAAAGAAUAGAAAAUUGGAAGGAAUGUGGGGGUGUCGGAGGAAAUAAAUGAUGUAUGAAAGAACCUUAGGUUAUUUUUAAAUAUAUAGAGAGAUAUAAAUUAGAUAAGUAGAGAUAGAUCGAGAAGAAAUAGAGAUAUAGACACAGAAGUAGAGAUAUAGAUUAGUCGGUCCAAUCAAACCAUUUGGAAAAGAAUAGAAAACCAGGCGAGGGUGGAAAAUCGGUGAAGGAUGAAGAGAGGGUGUACAUGGAGGAAUGGAUGUGGGGUGUCAAAUGAAAACCACAUAUGAUGCAAUCUUUGGCUCAUUUUAAAUAUAGCAAUAGAUAUAGAGAUAUGAAGUAUAGAAGAUAUGGAGAUAGAUAUAUAGAAGUAGAUGUAGAGAUUAGUCGGGGCGAUGAACACCAUUGGGGGGGGGGGGAGAAAAUCGGGNNNNNNNNNNNNNNNNNNNNNNNNNNNNNNNNNNNNNNNNNNNNNNNNNNNNNNNNNNNNNNNNNNNNNNNNNNNNNNNNNNNNNNNNNNNNNNNNNNNNNNNNNNNNNNNNNNNNNNNNNNACCGGCGGAGUGCGGGGAGACAACAUACAAGGAGGGAAGGAGACAAGUGUGUCGGACGAAACAAAUGACGUAUGCCGGAAUAUUAGGUUUUUUCUUCUAUAGAUAAUAAAGAAUAAAACUGGAUGGUUUAGUUCAAAAGAAUCCUAUGGUAACACAUGUUUUUUUUCCUGAUAAAUGGCAGUUUUAAUGGAUCGAUAUAUCAAGGUGAUACAACUCCACCAAGCGAAUACUCAGCCUCUUCAUAACACGGUACACACAUGCAACAUGUCCAUCACAACCAAAAACAAAUAACUUUUUUACAACAAAAUAAAAUGGGCAACCUAAGAUGUGGUAGAUUGUAUAGAAAGAUUACAAUGUCAUUCAUGAUGGGAGGAAACCUCUCUAGCCGCAUAUGAAGAUUACAUCGCAGCAAUAAAAAAGUCUCCGUCCUCCGACAUCUACAUGAAUAACCUGCACGAUAGAUGUAAUGUUUUUUUGUAUGUGCUAAAAACACAUCAUUUUCUUUUGUCAUAGGAGCUCAAUAUUCAAGAUGUUUUUAUUUGUAUAGAAUUGCAAAAUAUUUCAGAAUGUAAAAAAUGCCCUUUUAUGAUAUAUCCUCCUCGGUACCGGUAGUUUGCCGUAAUAACUAAAACCGCAACAAGUGUUUUGAAACGAAGGGAGCAAACAUGUAUCUUUCUUGAGUAAGUAGUGCAAUGGUAGAAACAGGAAACCGAUUCAAUCAGAAUUAUAUUCCAGCGAGUGAGGGAUGACUAGGUCGACGCUGAUCUUGAAAGGAAAAAAGAAAAAGGAAACGAUGCCCACAAAGGAAUACUACAACAUUAUAUUAAAUCCACACAUAUUAACUAUACUACAUCUCCCCACUAGGACGACAGGGACGUGAUCAUCAUACGGAUGAAACCAACACCUAAGCAGCCAUGAUAUGAUGAUGAUGAUCAGCCCGGCCAGGUCACACAUGUAUCAGGCAGCCGGCCGUGCGGGAUGAAACACACAUCAUGUAUCCAGGAGGCCACGCACGCGCCAGAUCGCUGACAGGACAUGCUGUUCCCCUGCGUCCACAUAAGCCCGGGAAAAUAUGGAUAGGGUGCACUUUUCCAUGUGGCCCUUCCCCGUCCGAUCCGACGAGGCAAAGCAGGUUCCCAUCCAUCCAUACAUGGGAUAGGACAAGGCGGCGGGGCCGGUACCGGUGGCCUUGCAAAUCCGUGUCCACAUAGGCCGGAUUAAGCAAAAGCGCAAGAUAACCAACUCCAUCAACACCAAAUUGUUGGGGGGGCACCGAUCAAUUAAGGUGCACUCGCACUACAUACAUAGUAUGUAUGUUUGUUGCUUAGCUGGCUGUAUCUGUAUGCAUGUGUGUUGUGGGUGUUCUCUUCUUCUUCUUUAAAGUUCCUUUGUGGGCUAUGUGUGAUUUCGACCACGAUAUAAUGGUCCCUUUCGAAAAUCGGUGGACACCGAUUUCUCGCAGAGCGAAAGGUUUUAAGUCAAAUGUGCACAUGCGCGCAUUCGAUCAAAGAUGGAUCCGGUAUUCUCAACCAUAUCGGAUAAGUACAAUUUUUGGUUUGUAUGAGAUAAAUAGGUUUGGACUUUCAGGUUUUGGUAAGCAUGAGAGUCUGUAAUCCUGGUGGUAAGCUGCUGAUCCUCCCUUUUUCUGAAAGAAAAAAAAAAGGUUACUAACCCUUUGAAUAAAUCAGGACAAACUAAGCCUCUCAAGUGGAAAUUCGGAACCAAUGAUGUGCCAGAAACUAUCUUGGCUACAUGCACGGUACGAAUUGGCAGCAUCAUCAUAACUACAACUUGAUCAAUAUACAACUCACUACAAAACACAUGUCUCAAGAAGACCAUUUUAGCAUAUAGGACCAAUUCAGUACAUGUGCCAAAAGAGGGCAGCCCGGCAUGCAUCUGUCAAAAAGUUGGGCUGCUAAGCCACCAAUAGGAAAUUUCUCAUCAACCAGCCGUAUAUGCAUGUGUGUUAAACCCAAACCAAUAUGCCCAAGCAGACCACCUGCAUGCUAGCUAAUCCUAGACACGACCGGCUCUUAAAUACAAUUGGUCCGGUCGAAUAAUUCGUUCACCGAAAUGAGUCAUGACUCAUCGUACAGUUUUUAUAUUCGUAUUAACUGUAAUCUACACAUUUGGUGCACCUAAUAUUAUUUCGUCAUUAGCACUUAUACUACAAGCUAGAGAGCAGUUGCAUGACCGGCCGGACUCUGCUGAUAGCAACAACAUACUGUGUGUAAAAGAACUAUCAACGGCCGGAUCUGGAUAUCCCACCUGAUCAAUAGGAUUGGGAGGGAGAGACGUACGUACUUAGUUUGUUGUCGGGGUUAUUACAACACGUAUGGUGCCACGAGGGAAAACCAUGCAUGCGUUGCACCAAAAGCUCACAUGUAUGGUGCGCUUAGACAAGCCGUGGUGUUGUGUUCCUAUGGCAAUUCCUAAUAAAGGUCUUCUUUUCUCUUUUCAAUUGCAAGGCCGAUGAACUCAAUACCUUCUCUUGUGAGACAACAAGUCCAAAAGUUAAGUGGAUCUGGUCUUGUUUGACAAAGUAUAAAGACAUGCUUAACUAAAGUGGUUUGAGUAAUUCUAUGAUUCUUUUGACAAAAAUCUUAAUUAAUUAGGUACACCAAAAACACAAAUGUUCUUAUGAUAAACAAAAUUGUUGGUUUCUUGCAAUAUAAUAACAAAACAAUGGCAUGUAAAAAUACGAGCAUGUACUAUAUAUAUACCGGUAUGAGACGGUAAAAGGUAGAGAGACCAAAGGCUUUUGAUGUACUCCAAAUCUCUUUAAAUUGACCCCGAAUAUCCAUUACUAAAAUAUAAUUUCAUUUGUAUACAUGUCACUUCACGAUAAGAAACAACAAAGCCGACAAAACCGUUGCGCCCGGUUCUUUCCUACGUAAGUCAUGUCAACUUCAAAGAUAAAAAGAAAAUCAUCGCCAACAAGUCUCCGUUGUGUCAAUUCUUCUUACGUAAGUUAUGUCGGAUUCCACCGAACACGGUCCUUGCGUGAAAAAACCGCCGCCGAAUGUCGUUGAGUAAGACGUGAACAUAUCCGACGCCGCGCGACCCAUCAUUGACCUGGAAACUUCACUUUCAUGGUACAUCAUGGGUGGAGUCCAAAAUUCAAACUAUUUUUUCAAAAGUUGUUUGGUACCACUAUGAAUGAAUGAAUUAUCCCCUUCCCCUACCUGCAACAACAACCUGGUGUACCGGAUAACCUCUGCCCACCACCAGACACACACUGUGAGAAGGCGGUGACGCAUGCAAACCGGCCUAGGUAGUCAAUCGCAACAGGCUAAAUAAAUGUCGCUGGAGGCGUUGGGCCUGCGCUCCCGAGUGGAUUGGACCGAACUAUGUCUCCUCGGAUCCUAUAUAAGGGGCCUGCACCCCGUUGUGGCCUCACCAGAAAAGAAACAACAAGAGCUUUACAGAGAGCCUUGGCAUCACCCACCCACACCCUCACCCUCCAACGCAGGUAGAGAGAGAAAGAGAAUGGCAGGCCAAGGCGUUGCCUCCAUGUUGGCUCUGGCAUUGCUCCUCGGAGCCUUCGCCUCCAUCCCACAAAGUGAUUCCCCUUCCUUCCCUCCCUCUCUCUCUCUUGAAGUGAUUGGGUGCAGUUUUUUUUUUCAUGCAGGGAGUUUCUUUGAAGAUAGUAAUACGUACGUUGAUCUUAGCUUUCAUUAAGAGAAGCAUUAGGGAGCUAGCUAGGUAGCCGGCGGCCAUGGUGUACCCAUGCUCACAUAAACCUCUCUCCCACAGACGUCACAUAGCAUACCUUCCUCUGUUUAGGUGCAUGUCGCUUUCGUUCUGCGUUUUAUUCUUCCCGCGCCAUCAGUCGCAUGGUAAAGCAUGAACGGCCGGCGCCCGCCGGUCUCAUUAUCUACCUCGAUGCGUCCAUCAAUGCAUGGGAGCACAGUAACUUUUCAAAAAAAAAAUCGAAAACUAAACACGGUAAAUUUUGUAAAAAAAAUCGUUUUCACUCGCUAAAAGAAUCAGGAGUCUUGGGUUUUGCUGCGGAGUAUACGUAUCAAAAUAUAUGCACCGCACGCUCCAAGAUAAAAGUGCACGUCAGCACGUGUGAUCGGCCUUCAUUGUGUUUCUUCUAUGGAAGAAAACGUUGCAAGAAGUAGGUAUUCCGCAGGAAAAUUAAUAUCUUAAGAACAACAAAAAUGAUACUUUCUAGAUAAAACAUUGAAAGAGGAAGUAAGCAGUGAAAACGAUGCUUGUAGAUAGUUUCAACUGUUUUAACCAUAAAUUAAUCUAGUUGAUCGUACGCAAAAGCUUGCAAAUGAAGUCUCGAAAUGUUUGGUGACCAUGCAUGUCAGUUAGCUAGCUGCAUCUUUUUACAAAGUCAGAAGGUUUAACUAACGACCUACAAGUAGCUAGCUAGGCCAGUGUCUCUUUCUCCAGUGUCAUGCAUGCUAAUCACCUAGAAAGUUUUUCUUCUUCUUCCUCCUCUUCCCUGCAUGCAAAGCUGUGCAUGCAUGUCUCGACAGUGUCGCCCUAGCACUGUAGACACGAGCCCUACCACUUAAUUGGUGGUUUGUUCCCUGAUUAAUUCGGUGCAACUACUGCUGAACCACCCGUCGCUAACCAUCUUUUUCUUCUUCCUUUGGUCCGCAUCUUGACGUUUUUUCAGCGAUGGACGAUGCCGUACCGGCCAGUCCAGUGGUCCUACUCGUUUCAGCUAGCCACUGUUCCAUUCUUUUAAGCUUAACGAAGACGAUUACACCAGCUGCUAGCUAACCAGUAACUAUAACUCAAUUGCAGCCUUUGUGUAGUCAUCAUAUCGACUUUGAAAGUGCAACCGGUGGAUCCAUGGUACAUGACGCCAUCGAUCACUAGGCACUAACUAACCAUGCAUAACCCAGGUGUUGGUUCUGCUGGCCUUUCCAAGUUUGGUCUGCCUGAAAAGAAUUGUGAUAUAAUAGGAUUGUAGGUUAGUGUAGUGGUACUAGCCAGUAGUUGGCACUUGAUCGGCCGGGCAGCAAGUUAAGAAGAGGAUUAAGUUGCGUGUACUUAUAUGGAGUACUUUGUCAUGCACGUGAGCUAGACCGUUUAUUGGAGCUUAGCUGGGAGCAGCCGGAGGGCAUGCAUGCACGCCAUGGCGAUCCACAUCGAUCGUAUGUGGACUAUCCAACGGCCGUGCUGCGGACGUUGGACCAGAAACUUUGGUUUGUCCUAGCAUGUAUGUAUGCAUGAGGUCUCUACACCCCCCUGUAUUUCUAGGCUUCCUGCCAAUUGCCAUCUACGUGUGGUCGACCUCCAUUCUGCCCCUACGAUAUUCCUGGCCCGUUUUGUUUAAUAAAUCCAGCUAGCUAGUGCCGUGCAAGUACUACACAAUUUAUGCCAUACCAUUGAUUGGCGAUGGCACUCUUAAGUGUACACGUACUGUAAAAAUACAUGUAUUCUUUCUAGCAUAAUUGAUGUACCAACUAUCAAGUGUAACACUUUAAUAGAGUAGAUUGGUGUAGAGUUAGUUGGUAAACCAAGCAAAUCAGGGAGGGUAAAAGAUUCACUGCACUGGAAGCUAGUCAAAGUUCAUUCCUUCCUUUAAGGUUAUCUAGUUCCUUUUUCUCCUUGCUCGUGGUAGAGUAGCUAGUAGCUAGUGACAAGUCGGUCAAGGCGCCGGCCGUGAAAAUAGCAAUGUUCCUCGGCCGUGUGCGUGCAUCUGACACCAACUCGUGACUGUAACAAAAACAAUAUAUAAGUGCUGCAUCAGCCACCAAAGUCUAGAGAGAAAGAGAUAAAAAAAAUGCGCAAAGCUAGAGGCUUACACGCAUGCAUCCAUGCAUGCGUACAAGAUUUCAGUUAAACGUCCUUUUCGGGGAGUUAGUAUUAUCCCUCGCCAACAGGUCAAAAGGCUCUGUGUGCAUGUGUGUUCAUGCAUCGCCGCCAUUCUUGCUUAUUGGUUUCUUUUUUAUAUUCCAUCACAUGCCAUCAUGGGAGAAUUUUUUAAUUUUCUACUAUGGCAAUGGAACAGUGCUACUACUCUACCUGGUGUAAAUAAUUGAUUUUGUGAAGGUUAACUAACCGAGGUUAUAUUACAUUGCAGGCGUGGAGUCCAUCGGGGUGUGCUACGGCAUGAGCGCCAACAAUCUGCCGGCGGCGAGCACCGUGGUCAACAUGUUCAAGUCCAACGGGAUCAACUCCAUGCGGCUGUACGCUCCCGACCAGGCGGCGCUGCAGGCGGUCGGCGGCACGGGCGUGAACGUUGUUGUGGGCGCGCCCAACGACGUGCUCUCCAACCUCGCCGCCAGUCCCGCAGCGGCUGCAUCGUGGGUGAGGAGCAACAUCCAGGCGUACCCCAAGGUCUCCUUCCGGUACGUCUGCGUGGGCAACGAGGUCGCCGGCGGCGCCACCCAGAACCUUGUCCCCGCCAUGAAGAACGUGCAGGGCGCGCUGGCCUCCGCCGGGCUGGGCCACAUCAAGGUGACCACGUCGGUGUCGCAGGCCAUCCUGGGCGUGUACAGCCCGCCGUCCGCCGGGUCCUUCACCGGAGAGGCGGACGCGUUCAUGGGCCCCGUGGUGCAGUUCCUUGCCCGCACCGGCGCGCCGCUCAUGGCCAACAUCUACCCGUACCUGGCCUGGGCCUACAACCCGAGCGCCAUGGACAUGAGCUACGCGCUCUUCACCGCGUCCGGCACCGUGGUCCAGGACGGCUCCUACGGGUACCAGAACCUGUUCGACACCACCGUGGACGCCUUCUACACGGCCAUGGCCAAGCACGGCGGCUCCAACGUGAAGCUGGUGGUGUCCGAGAGCGGGUGGCCGUCAGCCGGCGGCACGGCGGCGACCCCGGCCAACGCCAGGAUCUACAACCAGUACCUCAUCAACCACGUCGGGCGCGGCACCCCCCGCCACCCGGGCGCCAUCGAGACCUACGUCUUCUCCAUGUUCAACGAGAACCAGAAGGACAACGGCGUGGAGCAGAACUGGGGGCUCUUCUACCCCAACAUGCAGCACGUCUACCCCAUCAGCUUCUGAUGAGGUAGCAGCUACCUAGUGCCCGUAUGUCCGUACGUACGCGCGCGCGUAUAAGAGCGUGUACGCCGUACGUAUGCGCACAUUAUGUAUUGUACAGG
Molecule: long non-coding RNA, 14648 nt
Filed under: Hordeum vulgare
Lineage: Eukaryota; Viridiplantae; Streptophyta; Magnoliopsida; Poales; Poaceae
Description: long non-coding RNA (HVUL_LNC001648)
Source: RNAcentral